GCUCAGAACGAACGCUGGCGGCAGGCUUAACACAUGCAAGUCGAGCGCCCCGCAAGGGGAGCGGCAGACGGGUGAGUAACGCGUGGGAAUCUACCCUUGACUACGGAAUAACGCAGGGAAACUUGUGCUAAUACCGUAUGUGUCCUUCGGGAGAAAGAUUUAUCGGUCAAGGAUGAGCCCGCGUUGGAUUAGCUAGUUGGUGGGGUAAAGGCCUACCAAGGCGACGAUCCAUAGCUGGUCUGAGAGGAUGAUCAGCCACAUUGGGACUGAGACACGGCCCAAACUCCUACGGGAGGCAGCAGUGGGGAAUAUUGGACAAUGGGCGCAAGCCUGAUCCAGCCAUGCCGCGUGAGUGAUGAAGGCCCUAGGGUUGUAAAGCUCUUUCACCGGAGAAGAUAAU
Molecule: ribosomal RNA, 400 nt
Filed under: Rhizobium leguminosarum
Lineage: Bacteria; Pseudomonadati; Pseudomonadota; Alphaproteobacteria; Hyphomicrobiales; Rhizobiaceae
Also listed under: 1 other name
Description: bacterial SSU rRNA
Rfam family: Bacterial small subunit ribosomal RNA
Source: RNAcentral